Punica granatum (pomegranate) is the source of this 831-nucleotide non-coding RNA. NCBI's taxonomy places the organism in Eukaryota, Viridiplantae, Streptophyta, Magnoliopsida, Myrtales, Lythraceae. The record is from RefSeq and is a predicted model, not a curated record.
CAUAAUAAGCGGAAUUCGACAUAAAGUGACUAAUUUCUGUCUGUUUUGAUUAGCAGAUAUUUAUUUAUAUCAUCAUCAUUAUUAUCAUUCCAAUUAGUUGAAAACUGGGCCUAUUUCUGGCCGAGCAAACGAGGCCAGGUUCCUUUACAAGGGCUUCUGGGCCGGCCAUAUUGGGCCCGUUGCCGGUCCCUUCCGCCAGCCGCCGAAUUCGAAGAGGGUAAUCGUAAUUGGAGCAACCUAGCAUCUCAGCCGCUCGUUCUAUCCAUCACGCAGAACUUCGACCGUCGGAUCUCUUUCUCCUGCUCCUAUAAAAUGACUGCCAGGUCCUCAUCUCACGCUCGGUCACAUCGUCUCCUCCUCAUAAGCUGAGUCGGCGCACCCUCCGUGCGGCCACUAGGGUUCCAGAGCUCGCGCUUCGUUUCCAAUAUUCCUAAGCCUUUUCUCUCUCGCGAGGUAGACUGGAGGAGGUCUGUUGCAGCGGCGGUGAUGAGUCCUACAGACCUGUAAUGACUUGCGAAUAUGAUCGCAGCUCUUUAUGAACAUCUAAGGGACUGAGUCACGUAACAGAUCUCCCAAUCCUGUCAGAAAAAUUCGUUUUAAAUUUAGCUAAAAGUAUCGAUUAUUUUAUUAUUGCUGGGUGUAUUUUUCUUGAUUGUUCGUUCCGUCCUAGGUUAGGAUUGGCUUCAAUCAUAGUAUAGUGAUGGCUUGCACUGCUAAUACUUGAGUAGGUGUUUGUCCAUUUCGUUGAAGCCGAUAUUAUUGUUCCCCUCGCUAUCCGGUGCUUCAUCGAUGUUGUAAUCGGACGUCGGGGAACUACAGUUCUUCAGGAAA